CAGCCGCCGCGGUAAUACGUAGGUGGCAAGCGUUGUCCGGAAUUAUUGGGCGUAAAGGGCUCGCAGGCGGUUUCUUAAGUCUGAUGUGAAAGCCCCCGGCUCAACCGGGGAGGGUCAUUGGAAACUGGGAAACUUGAGUGCAGAAGAGGAGAGUGGAAUUCCACGUGUAGCGGUGAAAUGCGUAGAGAUGUGGGGGGACACCAGUGGCGAAGGCGACUCUCUGGUCAGUAACUGACGCUGAGGAGCGAAAGCGUGUGGAGCGAACAGGAUUAGAUACCCCCGUAGUCCCUGUCUCUUAUAC
RNAcentral lists this ribosomal RNA (301 nucleotides) under uncultured bacterium. Its description in RNAcentral is "partial 16S ribosomal RNA". It matches the Rfam family "Bacterial small subunit ribosomal RNA", at positions 509 to 807 of the family's 1533-position model. The record is from RNAcentral.